GCUUGUCUCAAAGAUUAAGCCAUGCAUGUCUAAGUUUAAAUAGAAAACAGUGAAACUGCGAAUGGCUCAUUAAAUAAUUUUGCAUAUACAAGAUAGUCAACUCUACUUGGAUAACCGUGGUAAUUCUAGAGCUAAUACAUGCUAAAAACCCCGACUUCGGAAGGGGUGUAUUUAUUAGAUACAAAACCAAUGCCCUUCGGGGCUCCUUGGUGAUUCAUGAUAACUAUACGAAUCGCACGGCCUUGCGCCGGCGAUGGUUCAUUCAAAUUUCUUCCCUAUCAACUUUCGAUGUUUGGGUAUUGGCCAAACAUGGUUGCAACGGGUAACGGAGGGUUAGGGCUCGACCCCGGAGAAGGAGCCUGAGAAACGGCUACUACAUCCAAGGAAGGCAGCAGG
This 396-nucleotide ribosomal RNA is filed under the name Sarocladium strictum. RNAcentral describes it as "partial small subunit ribosomal RNA". It matches the Rfam family "Eukaryotic small subunit ribosomal RNA", at positions 30 to 432 of the family's 1831-position model. Lineage: Eukaryota; Fungi; Ascomycota; Sordariomycetes; Hypocreales; Sarocladiaceae. The record is from RNAcentral.